UUGGGGAAAAACAAAAUGUCGGUACCCAAGGAAUCAGCAUCGGCUAUUCCGCCCCCGCAGCCGGGGUAAUAGGGGGGAUGCCAGCGUUUUCCGGAAUUAGGGGGUAAAAGGGUCCGCAGGUGGCACUUCAUGUUUGCUGAAAAAUACUGGGGUUUAACCCGGGGGAGCCAGGGGAAAGGGAAGCGUUUGAGGGUUGUAGGGGUAAAGGGAAUUCCUGGUGUAGGGGUGAAAUGCGUAGAGAUCAG
This 245-nucleotide ribosomal RNA is filed under the name uncultured prokaryote. Its description in RNAcentral is "partial 16S ribosomal RNA". It matches the Rfam family "Bacterial small subunit ribosomal RNA", at positions 439 to 700 of the family's 1533-position model. The record is from RNAcentral.